Molecule: long non-coding RNA, 307 nt
Organism: Puntigrus tetrazona (Sumatra barb)
Lineage: Eukaryota; Metazoa; Chordata; Actinopteri; Cypriniformes; Cyprinidae
Exons: 3
Source: RefSeq, a predicted model, not a curated record
CAAAUAUAUAACGGCCCUCAUUCACUGCAGAGCACGCAUAGAAUCCUCCUUCUGAAGCAAGUCUUUGCAGCACCGAAAACCGACAUGCGGACUUUGACUGGCAGUUGUUCCACAUCAUUUGCUCGGGUACGAGUGAGAAUGAUGUAUUGCUGACUCCUUGCGAAGCAUUAGUGUGAUUUUACAGCAGAAACUAUCAGCACUCUGAUCGUGAUGCUAUCUGGACGCAGUCCAGGAAAUGGAGGAUGAAGAGGAAUCUAGUUGGCUAUGGUUGACAGGGACGGUGCUUAUUACCACGUCACAGCUGACA